This 117-nucleotide ribosomal RNA is filed under the name Candidatus Hinthialibacter antarcticus. The record is from RNAcentral. Lineage: Bacteria; Candidatus Hinthialibacterota; Candidatus Hinthialibacteria; Candidatus Hinthialibacterales; Candidatus Hinthialibacteraceae.
UCCGGUGACAAUAGCGAGGAGGUCACACCCGAUCCCUUCCCGAACUCGGAAGUUAAGCUCCUCAGCGUCGAUGGUACUGCCGCGGACACGCGGUGGGAGAGUAGAACAUCGCCGGAA